RNAcentral lists this ribosomal RNA (253 nucleotides) under uncultured bacterium. RNAcentral describes it as "partial 16S ribosomal RNA". It matches the Rfam family "Bacterial small subunit ribosomal RNA", at positions 524 to 776 of the family's 1533-position model. The record is from RNAcentral.
UACGUAGGGACCAAGCGUUGUCCGGAAUCAUUGGGCGUAAAGAGCGUGUAGGCGGCUUGCUAAGUCUUGCGUGAAAUCUCGGGGCUCAACCCCGAGCGGUCGUGAGAAACUGGCAGGCUAGAGUGCGGGAGAGGAGAGUGGAAUUCCUGGUGUAGCGGUGAAAUGCGCAGAUAUCAGGAAGAACACCCGUGGCGAAGGCGGCUCUCUGGAACGCAACUGACGCUGAGACGCGAAAGCGUGGGGAGCAAACAGG